Molecule: ribosomal RNA, 408 nt
Filed under: Paragnetina media (embossed stonefly)
Lineage: Eukaryota; Metazoa; Arthropoda; Insecta; Plecoptera; Perlidae
Description: partial 12S ribosomal RNA
Rfam family: Microsporidia small subunit ribosomal RNA (bases 51-408)
Source: RNAcentral
UAAACUACGAUUAGAUACCCUAUUAUUUUAAAUGUGUAAUGUUCAGACCAGAGUAGUAGUAGAUAUGUACUUGAAACUCAAAGAAUUUGGCGGUGCUUUAGUCCUUUCAGAGGAACCUGUCCCUUAAUCGAUAUUCCUCGUUAAAUCUUACUUGAUCUUGUGAUCAGUUUGUAUACCGCCGUCGUCAGAAUGUCCUAUAAGGGUAUAAAUUUUCUUACAUUUAAGUGAAUCAGAUGUCAGGUCAAGGUGCAGCUAAUGGUCAAGAGGAGGUGGGUUACAAUAAAUGAAUUUAUACGGAUAGAAGUUUGGAAGUUUAGUUUCUUGAAGGUGGAUUUGAUUGUAAUAGUUAAUAUUGAAUGAUUAUGAUUACUUGGCUCUAAAGCAUGCACACAUCGCCCGUCGCUCUUA